RNAcentral lists this transfer RNA (74 nucleotides) under Nematostella vectensis (starlet sea anemone). It matches the Rfam family "tRNA", at positions 6 to 65 of the family's 71-position model. Rfam says of the family: Transfer RNA (tRNA) molecules are approximately 80 nucleotides in length. The record is from Rfam by way of RNAcentral. Lineage: Eukaryota; Metazoa; Cnidaria; Anthozoa; Actiniaria; Edwardsiidae.
GAUAGCUCAGUUGGUAGAGCGGGGGACUGUAGAUUUAUAAUUGUGAUCCCUAGAUGCUGGGUCGAAUCCGGCUC